Molecule: ribosomal RNA, 346 nt
Filed under: Phocaeicola plebeius
Lineage: Bacteria; Pseudomonadati; Bacteroidota; Bacteroidia; Bacteroidales; Bacteroidaceae
Description: bacterial SSU rRNA
Rfam family: Bacterial small subunit ribosomal RNA
Source: RNAcentral
UUUUACAAUGAAGAGUUUGAUCCUGGCUCAGGAUGAACGCUAGCUACAGGCUUAACACAUGCAAGUCGAGGGGCAGCAUGAUUGAAGCUUGCUUCAAUUGAUGGCGACCGGCGCACGGGUGAGUAACACGUAUCCAACCUUCCGUACACUCAGGGAUAGCCUUUCGAAAGAAAGAUUAAUACCUGAUGGUAUCUUAAGCACACAUGUAAUUAAGAUUAAAGAUUUAUUGGUGUACGAUGGGGAUGCGUUCCAUUAGGUAGUAGGCGGGGUAACGGCCCACCUAGCCUACGAUGGAUAGGGGUUCUGAGAGGAAGGUCCCCCACAUUGGAACUGAGACACGGUCCAA